This 252-nucleotide unclassified non-coding RNA is filed under the name Hevea brasiliensis (rubber tree). The record is from RNAcentral. Lineage: Eukaryota; Viridiplantae; Streptophyta; Magnoliopsida; Malpighiales; Euphorbiaceae.
AAACACAAACAAAUCGAAGACUGAAGAAACACAAGAGGAUGAUGUGAAGAUUGACUGGCCUGAAGACUCCGUGUCCAAAGCUAAGAUCAUCAGAUCCAAAGCCCAAUCAAUGUCAGGAGAUGUGGAAGCAGUUUCCAACAGUUUUGUUACAGGUAUCUCGGAGAUAGUCGAAGCUUACAUGGCAGCUGCCCUUGAGAGCAGCACCUCUUCCUCCGAAAAACACGAGGGUCUUACACAAGAACAGAAGUCGAU